GAACGAAAAGAGGGAAAGAGCCCGCUCCCGCCGGAAGGGAGCGGCAAACGGGAGAGAAACACGAAAACAACCCGCCUUCAGGAGGGGGACAACAGACGGAAACGACUGCUAAUACCGAAUAAGUUCCAAGGGCCGCAUGGCCCAUGGAAGAAAAGGUGGCCUCUACCUGUAAGCUAUCGCCUGAAGAGGGGUUUGCGUCUGAUUAGCUGGUUGGAGGGGUAACGGCCCACCAAGGCGACGAUCAGUAGCCGGUCUGAGAGGAUGAACGGCCACACUGGAACUGAGACACGGUCCAGACUCCUACGGGAGGCAGCAGUGGGGAAUCUUCCGCAAUGGGCGAAAGCCUGACGGAGCAACGCCGCGUGAGUGAUGACGGCCUUCGGGUUGUAAAACUCUGUGAUCCGGGACGAAAAGGCAGAGUGCGAAGAACAAACUGCAUUGACGGUACCGGAAAAGCAAGCCACGGCUAACUACGUGCCAGCAGCCGCGGUAAUACGUAGGUGGCAAGCGUUGUCCGGAAUUAUUGGGCGUAAAGCGCGCGCAGGCGGCUUCCCAAGUCCCUCUUAAAAGUGCGGGGCUUAACCCCGUGAUGGGAAGGAAACUGGGAAGCUGGAGUAUCGGAGAGGAAAGUGGAAUUCCUAGUGUAGCGGUGAAAUGCGUAGAGAUUAGGAAGAACACCGGUGGCGAAGGCGACUUUCUGGACGAAAACUGACGCUGAGGCGCGAAAGCGUGGGGAGCAAACA
This 743-nucleotide ribosomal RNA is filed under the name uncultured bacterium. Its description in RNAcentral is "bacterial SSU rRNA". It matches the Rfam family "Bacterial small subunit ribosomal RNA", at positions 64 to 774 of the family's 1533-position model. The record is from RNAcentral.